Molecule: ribosomal RNA, 868 nt
Filed under: Exserohilum mcginnisii
Lineage: Eukaryota; Fungi; Ascomycota; Dothideomycetes; Pleosporales; Pleosporaceae
Description: LSU rRNA
Rfam family: Eukaryotic large subunit ribosomal RNA
Source: RNAcentral
AUUGCCCUAGUAACGGCGAGUGAAGCGGCAACAGCUCAAAUUUGAAAUCUGGCUCUUUCAGUAGUCCGAGUUGUAAUUUGCAGUAGGGCGCUUUGGCUUUGGCAGCGGUCCAAGUUCCUUCGGAACAGGACGUCACAGAGGGUGAGAAUCCCGUACGUGGUCGCUAGCUAUUGCCGUGUAAAGCCCCUUCGACGAGUCGAGUUGUUUGGGAAUGCAGCUCUAAAUGGGAGGUAAAUUUCUUCUAAAGCUAAAUAUUGGCCAGAGACCGAUAGCGCACAAGUAGAGUGAUCGAAAGAUGAAAAGCACUUUGGAAAGAGAGUCAAACAGCACGUGAAAUUGUUGAAAGGGAAGCGCUUGCAGCCAGACUUGCUUGCAGUUGCUCAUCCGGGCUUUUGCCCGGUGCACUCUUCUGCAGGCAGGCCAGCAUCAGUUUGGGCGGUGGGAUAAAGGUCUCUGUCAUGUACCUCUCUUCGGGGAGGCCUUAUAGGGGAGGCGACAUACCACCAGCCUAGACUGAGGUCCGCGCAUCUGCUAGGAUGCUGGCGUAAUGGCUGUAAGCGGCCCGUCUUGAAACACGGACCAAGGAGUCUAACAUCUAUGCGAGUGUUUGGGUGUCAAGCCCGAGCGCGUAAUGAAAGUGAACGGAGGUGGGAACCCGCAAGGGUGCACCAUCGACCGAUCCUGAAGUUUACGGAAGGAUUUGAGUAAGAGCAUGGCUGUUGGGACCCGAAAGAUGGUGAACUAUGCUUGAAUAGGGUGAAGCCAGAGGAAACUCUGGUGGAGGCUCGCAGCGGUUCUGACGUGCAAAUCGAUCGUCAAAUUUGGGCAUAGGGGCGAAAGACUAAUCGAACUAUCUAGUAGCUGUCUG